AGGAUGAACGCUGGCGGUAUGCUUUACACAUGCAAGUCGUACGAGAGUUUUUAACUCAAGUGGCGGACGGGUGAGUAACACGUAAGAAUUUGCCUUUAGGAGGGGGAUAACAACUGGAAACGGUUGCUAAUACCCCAUAUGCUUUCGAGUAAAAUGGAUUUUUCCGCCUAAAGAGAAGCUUGCGGCUGAUUAGCUUGUUGGUGAGGUAAUGGCUUACCAAGGCGACGAUCAGUAUCUGGUUUGAGAGGACGAUCAGACACACUGGAACUGAGACACGGUCCAGACUCCUACGGGAGGCAGCAGUGGGGAAUUUUCCGCAAUGGGCGAAAGCCUGACGGAGCAAUACCGCGUGAGGGAUGACGGCCUAUGGGUUGUAAACCUCUUUUUUCAGGAGGAAUCAAUGACGUGUACCUGAAGAAUAAGCAUCGUCUAACUCCGUGCCAGCAGGCCGC
RNAcentral lists this ribosomal RNA (452 nucleotides) under uncultured bacterium. Its description in RNAcentral is "SSU rRNA". It matches the Rfam family "Bacterial small subunit ribosomal RNA", at positions 26 to 518 of the family's 1533-position model. The record is from RNAcentral.